Molecule: unclassified non-coding RNA, 231 nt
Filed under: uncultured Ascomycota
Lineage: Eukaryota; Fungi; Ascomycota
Description: sequence contains ITS1
Source: RNAcentral
AUGCUUUAGCGGGUGUGUUGCGGCCCUCGAGGCCCCGUGCAUUCGCUGCACGGGAACAAGCUCCGGGAGGUGUAGGGUUCCCACGUGGGGGCCCUUUCACGCGCAUAUGACUGAAUCCUUACUUUACUCGUACCUCUCGUUCUCCUUCGGCGGGGCAGCCUGCCGUUGGAACAGCCAAAACUUCUUUUUUUUGUCAUCCAGCAUUACCUGUUCUGAUACAAACAAUCGUUA